Molecule: ribosomal RNA, 228 nt
Filed under: uncultured bacterium
Lineage: Bacteria
Description: partial 16S ribosomal RNA
Rfam family: Bacterial small subunit ribosomal RNA
Source: RNAcentral
CGGGUGAGUAAUGUCUGGGAAACUGCCUGAUGGAGGGGGAUAACUGCUGGAAACGGUAGCUAAUACCGCAUAACGUCGCAAGACCGAAGAGGGGGACCUUCGGGCCUCUUGCCAUCGGAUGUGCCCAGAUGGGAUUAGCUAGUAGGUGGGGUAACGGCUCACCUAGGCGACGAUCCCUAGCUGGUCUGAGAGGAUGACCAGCCACACUGGAACUGAGACACGGUCCAG